Long non-coding RNA from Rhea pennata, 453 nucleotides. RefSeq lists it as uncharacterized. The record is from RefSeq and is a predicted model, not a curated record. NCBI's taxonomy places the organism in Eukaryota, Metazoa, Chordata, Aves, Rheiformes, Rheidae. The transcript is spliced from 4 exons.
CGCGGGCCUGGCGCGGCGUCGCGCCGCGCCGGCCUCUCCCCCUGCGCCCCCGUCAGCGGCUUUGGGGCAUCGCGGGGACCCGGUAGGAAGGUGGGAGAAAUAGCUUUCUGAAGAAGUAUUAGAAAAGUCAGUGAAACAAGAACCUUAAGAAGUGAAUGCAAUCAAAAUGGGGGCUCAGCCUGACUUCUCUGUCUAUCAGUAUUUGAUGUGAAAACACAAGUGUAGCUGACAAAGUCUGCGACUGGAACUGAAGUACCUGCAAGGACAGUUCCCCUCAGGCUCAGGUCAUGUUCUCUAGAUCUCUGAUUGAUGAUUCUCAUUUUACUCUCUGUGCUGCAUGCUGUCAGCAUCAUUCAACAGCAACGUAAGAGACAACAUUUUGCAUCACAUUUAUGAAAACUUUGCCCCACUGUUAACUGCAUGAAAUCUUGAAUAAAAAUAUCUAGACUCUUG